RNAcentral lists this ribosomal RNA (419 nucleotides) under uncultured bacterium. RNAcentral's name for it is "bacterial SSU rRNA". It matches the Rfam family "Bacterial small subunit ribosomal RNA", at positions 358 to 773 of the family's 1533-position model. The record is from RNAcentral.
GGAAUAUUGCGCAAUGGGCGAAAGCCUGACGCAGCCACGCCGCGUGAGCGAUGAAGGCCUUCGGGUCGUAAAGCUCUGUGGAGGGAGAAGAACAAAGCCGGUGAAGAGCCGGCCUUGACGGUAACCCUUUAGCAAGCGCCGGCUAACUCCGUGCCAGCCGCCGCGGUAAUACGGAGGGCGCGAACGUUGCUCGGAAUCAUUGGGCGUAAAGCGCACGUAGGCGGCCGAUCAAGUUGGGUGUGAAAGCCCUCGGCUCAACCGAGGACGUGCAUCCAAAACUGACCGGCUUGAGUGUCGGAGGGGAUGAAGGAAUUCCCGGUGUAGAGGUGAAAUUCGUAGAUAUCGGGAGGAACACCAGUGGCGAAGGCGUUCAUCUGGCCGAUUACUGACGCUGAGGUGCGAAAGCGUGGGGAGCAAAC